GAUGGGAUAAGGAGUUCUUUUUUAACCACUGGUUUGUUUUGAAGACACAAGCAAAUCAUUUAGAAAGUGUUUUGAAAGUUACCAGAACACACCACCCUUGAUACUGAUUGAUGGAUGGCCAGCCAUGGCUGCAGGCUACCAGUGUCUUGAAGUCAAUGUCCUCUAUGGCCAUUGGACCAUGUCCACUGCCACUAAGCGUGAAUGAACUGACUGAACCACUUAUCAGAAACUUCUACUGGGAAUACAAGACUGAAGUAUGAUUUGCUACACAUGUCUUCCACUUGUCUAUGAACAAAGGCAGACCUCAUUAUUGUCAGUAAUAGCUCUGUGAAGUAACUGAAACAAGGAAAUAAAACUUCAGAGUCUGAGAAAGUAAUGAUGUGAAACCACAUUGACUCGGCUUUGAGGAAAAGAUUACUACCAUGUGUCUAAAUAAUUGUUAAUCAUUGCAUACAAAACACAUGGCAUCAAUGCUCUAAUAUCCAUUAAGAUUGAUCAUUGAUUUGUAUCAAAGUCCACAAACAGUCCUCUGACCAUAGAAUGGGAUUGAAAGGAUUAAGCCCUUUCUGUACUACAAUGAAGCCCAUGCAGGAAGAUGCAAUGUUAUUUCGAAGUGAUCAUUACCUAUUCAAACCAGCAAAAGCAGAAUAAAUCAUUAGAUGCAAUGCCUCGUAAAAAGCAAUCAGGUAAUGUUA
Haliotis rubra (blacklip abalone) is the source of this 695-nucleotide long non-coding RNA. RefSeq lists it as uncharacterized. The transcript has 3 exons. NCBI's taxonomy places the organism in Eukaryota, Metazoa, Mollusca, Gastropoda, Lepetellida, Haliotidae. The record is from RefSeq and is a predicted model, not a curated record.